This is a long non-coding RNA of Marmota monax (woodchuck), 5288 nucleotides long. RefSeq lists it as uncharacterized. The transcript has 3 exons. NCBI's taxonomy places the organism in Eukaryota, Metazoa, Chordata, Mammalia, Rodentia, Sciuridae. The record is from RefSeq and is a predicted model, not a curated record.
AAUUUUGAGGUGUGGUUUUCUUGAGGUGGCAUAGAGGUAUAUAAAGAUUUGUUUUAAUAGCAUUUUAGUUGGGCAAUUAUAGAAGUUGAGCAAUUCUGUGUUCUGGAUAAAAGGAAAAGCCAGCAUUGCCUUGUGAAGCCAGGGUGCUGGGCUACCAGAGGGUUAACUGCCAGCUGGAGAAACACCAGCUCAGAGUCCCUGGGAGACCAGCCCCACCUGCAUCCCCUUGAGUCUAUGCUGAUUAUUCUCUGCAUCUUCCUUCUCUGCUCUGUGCCCUGGGAGCCUGGCUUUGAGGAAUGCAUCUUUUUGGCCCUGUCCACAAUCUGCCUUCUGGGAGCAUUUGGCCAGUGGGAGGUACCAGCAAGAGCCUGGAGGGCAAGAGAGGAGAGAGAAAUUGGGGUACUCCUUCUCGAAUUGCUCUUUGCUUUGUUGAGAUGUCUCUAAAAAUUGCUGUUUCCUCUUCGAAGACAGUUCCACCAGACUGCCCCGCCUCCAAGUUUCUGAGUGCAAAAUGAACUCAGGUGGAGGUGGGGAAUGUGAUGGACAUGCAGGUUCAAUGACCUGCUUAGGGGCCCCGGAAUGUCAAGGCCAAGGGGUCCCCAUUCUAAAACAGAUAAAACAGCCACCACAGUCAACUCUGUAGCUGCUGAAUGACGUAAGCGGAGGAGCCCUGGUUCUAGAGUCACAGGCAAGUGGAGAGUAAGGUGUGUGUGCACCAUGCGCAGCGACCACUAGUGUUAUCCUCACUAAAGAAAACCAUGCAGUAUAAGAGGAGGCUGCAGGCACUUUCUGCUGAGUACUUUGCUAAAUACAGACACAAUUGCAAGCCCUUCUGCUUCUAGGGUUUCCUUUCUACUUGGAUCAUAUUUGUUUCCUUACCUCUCAGAGAAACCUCUUGCAGUGUGUGAAGUUACAAUACAGCAUCACCUCCCUAAUUGGUCCUGCUGGUUGGAAAGAGCCUCUUGAAUUCCCCAAAGGGCCUGAAGAGCAGAAUAAAUUGCUUUAUCGCCUACAUAGUCACUCAUCUAAUGCUAUGAAAUGUUGCCAAAAGAGGGCCUGUAGGGACUUGGAAUUAUCAUUUUAUAAAAAAAAAAAAAGCAUUAGUGGAUGUUUAUAUGUAGGAGAUAAGAAGAAAAAUAUAGUACAAGGCCAAAUUCUAUUUAGAUAAGAAUAAUUUGAGUAUGCUGAUUGCAGGGGAGAAUAAAUCCUGCUAAAUGCUUGUAUGCUGUCUGCCUAUGUGAAAUCUGAAAAUUCCUUCUGCUCCAAUGUUUAAGAUACUUCUAUUAUCUUUCUUAAGCCCUUUGGGAUCUUCAGGGUCUGUACACUCUGCUUGUUUUCUUAAUACAGAACCCAAGAUCUUUGCUAUUUUCCUUUCCAUCAACGAUCCACUCCUUGUUUUGGUUCUAUUCCUCCCCACAGGGUUUGUGGAGUGGUUCUUGGUUUCACCUCUUCCUUGACUUCUCCAAAGAUGAACAUGCAACCCUGCAUCAUUUAUCAGUUUUGAAACUGAUGAUAAUAGAAAUAGCAAAUGUGGGAAAAUUAUAAAUGUUCUGACAUAUGAAGUAUUUGAAUCAUAACUCCAAAUAGCUCUCAUAAAUUCUUUAAUAAUGUCCUCUUUUCUCCUUCAAGUAGUUCCGUGGGACCCCAGGGAGGGGUUUGUGAGUGCUCCCAGGUCUCUCCUGCUCAGCGACAGAAGACUGCAGUUCCUCUACUCUAGGGCCUAACACACAGGUGUUUUAGCACAGCAGUGACCCAUGGGUGCCAAAGGUGUUAGAGUGGAGCAGAACGCUCCCUUGCUUGUGUUACUCUGUUUUAAAUGUGAGACAUGGGCCCUAGCGAGCUGAAGAAUUUAUCGGAACAUCUAUUUUAGAAUUUGAUUAUGGUGUUGUAUCUCCCAGCGAACUAAGCACUUGGCCCAGGGGUUGAGCUGGGCAUGGAGCAGCCACCACCCUGCUGCAGGGAGACUCCUCCCACCACCCUCUUUGAAUACCGAAGCUUUGUUGUUCUAACCUAUUCCUGGCUCUUUCCUCUCUGAGCUGCUUCCCAGAGGAACCUUAGCCCACUGCAGAGUGGCAUUUUGCAUGGUACUCUAGCAGAUUGAGCAUCUUCUAGCAGAGGGUACCAUGUAGACUUGUUCCCAGGAGGCUGCUUGACCUCCAACCCCAUAAACUUGCAUCAGGCUCAAGCCAUCAGCCCAGGCGCUGAGAAGAACGAGCUCUGGCAGUAGAUGACAGAAAGUCCGGCUAAUGCAGAACUCCCCUGCACAGCCCUGGUCUCUGGAUCCUGGUUUUAAAAUAUUAAUUGGAAGACCUACCUUUUUGGUUCUCUGCCCUUUACUUUAUUUCUGAGCAUAAGACUCGACAAACUCCCCCAAGAACAAAGGUAAGAAUUUCCAAGUUCUGAGUUGCAACUUUCCAUGAAGGCCUAGAGAGGGACCCUGGGAUGGUUGACCCCAUCACAGGCCUGACCCACUUCAGGCGUUACCUGAUAAACUUCACAAGCAUACUCUUCCACCCAUUUCUGGUUAUCAGCCCACAAAUUCAGAAUUCAGUGGGAUCUGAGUAGAUGAGAGUUUCCUGAUUCCAACUUUCACAUUAAGAAGAUAUGUGGCAAAUUCUGUGUGAUUAUUAUUUAGAAUAGAGCAUAUUUCAAUUCUGUGAAUGUAAAGAAAGAUACAAUUUUGGCUAUUACUAUUUUUAAAAAAUAUUAGAGAAAAUUUCUCCUAUACACAAAAAAAUUUAGAUGUCAUGAAUGUGUUAGACAAAGAUAAGAGCCAAACUUGAGAUAAGUAAAACCUUUACUCUUGACAGCUGUUAAGUGUGCAUUUGAUUUAGAACCUACCAUCAUCAGUCGAAACUCACUGCGGUAACUUUCAGUUUUCCAGAGUCUUCUAUUUGUUAUUACAUUUUUUUUCUAGCUUCGCUUCUUCGAAACUCACCCACCGUUUUUCAUAACUCCACCCCAAUUUGAUCUCAUCUUUCCCUGUGUCCUUGAAGGGUUCAGAAAUCCAGUGACACCGUUUACACUUGUGGCAUGAAGCAUUGCUCACAGCAGGUUCUAUGAAGUUGACUGUAAACUUAAAGCAAUCUUUACAUCCUGCCUGAAGUGAGUUGAUUUACGAGUGAGUGUUUGCUGAGUGCUCAGAGAUCCUCCUCUGCAAUGCAAGAUCCAAGUGCGCUGUGUUAUUGCUUUACUUUAUUUGUCUUUUGUAAAACACCUGGUACCAUGACAAUCUUCACUAAAUAAAUAAUAAAUGAAAUGAAACACACUUCCUUCUCUAUUUUAAUAAUGUACUAUUCAUGCAUUUUUUUCCCCUAAAACAAAGAAUCAUUGUAGGAAGUUGCUCUGCCAAUAUUAGGCUGAUAUCUUAUUGCAGGCAAAGAUAAAAUAGCAUGCCACAGGAAAACUGAUAGUCUCUUUUCAAAACAAAGGAGAACAAGGCAAUAACAAAAUGUGAAAAGCCAAGAAAUGGCUUAAUGGAAUUAAUACAAAUAUGAAUGUAUGCUCCUUGAUAUCCUAAUACAUCCCCUGGUUAUAAAAUAAUAUCAAGAUGUUUAGAGGAAAAUUCAAAUUACAGUUUCCCAGUCACUCUAUGCUGUUUUUGCAAAUCUAUUGUUUUUCUCUCGUAUGAACCCAUCGCAGGGAAAGGCUGACAGAGAUGUUUAACAGAGAGCAGAACUGCUGCCAGCCAUUUCCAGUGGGAAUUGAGCUACCAAAUAUUUUCCUCAAAUUAUAGAAAAUUGCCGUUUGUAGAGUCCACAUUAUAUUUAGCUUCUUAAUUUAGGAUUAAACAUCUGUAACUUAUUGUUAGGACAUCCGGAGAGUUUGCAAAACUCUAUAAUAUGAAUAUUGUCUCUCUCUUUAGUCCUGUAGUGUCUCUAAAGAAAAUUGUUUUGGUCCCAUUUUUAAAGAUUUGCUGAUGGUCAAAAGAACCACUAUAUAAUUUUAUGGUGAAAAAAGUGAGGUCUUCUGCAACGCGGUGUUGACAUAUUUUCACCCAAAUCUGCCACCAGUUGACCAAGGAUCCUGACAGUGGUUACCCUUCCGGCUUCCUCUCAUACCCCAAUGGGAUACAGUGGAGCAGAGAAAGGACAACUUCCUCUCUCACUCCUCUGCCUGUGGGUGAGGACCAUAGCACUGUGCUAACACCAGCCUUGGAAGGUUUUAGAAAUGGCCAUGACUCCAUUGGUGGGGCUUCCCCAGUAAUGUUUGGGUGGCAUAUAGGAUGAUUUAUUUUCCAAACAUUGAAUGUAUAUAUAGUGAUUUUUUGAUGCUAAUAAAGCUGAGGGGCUUAGGAUUUCUGAAGGACCAAGGAAAUGUAGGUGAACUUGAAUAUUUUAUUUACAAAUAUUCUCAGGUGAGUUCAGUUUUGUUUCUUAAAAAUAAGGUCAAAGAAGGCUUUCAAGAAAGAGCUGCAUUGAAGUUGAGAUUUCAGAAGGACAAUGAUGAUAUUGGAAUAAAAUUCAAGGGUAGGUAUUCUGGCCAGGAGAGUAGUGUGGGCAAAGCAAGUGGGAAAGUUCAGGGGCCUUUAAAUAUUGCUCCGAGUUCCCUGGGGGCACUAGAAGUACAAAUGAGGCUAGAAAUGUUCUGCAAAAUUCUACUCCCAAAUUUUUGGCAUUGUUCUUCUUCCCCUGGAAAGUCUUCUCUGACUUGCUAUGAUGUUGGGUUGAGUGUCCUUUCUCAAUGCUUCUGGAACCUUCUACCUUUGUUCUAAUGUAGUUGUUAGUGCCAUUUAUGCAUUUGUCUGUUCUUAUUUGAUAUCCUCUUUCUGUUUUAAGCUUCUUACAGAAUUCUUCUUAAUGUCCUGGGCAAUGCCUGGUGGGUGCUUAACAAAUAAUUUGUGAAUGGAAUGAAUAAUGUAAGCUUUUCCUUAAAUAAUACUUUUUUUUGAAAAUUAAAAAAAAAUUGUUUCAAAGGUCUUUAGACCAGUAAUUGUCUUAAGGGCAUAAAGUGACUAAUAAUAAAUAUAGAUAUAUUUUGUAAUUAAACUGCAAAAACUGAAGCAUAUGCUUGACUAUUACAAAGAAACACAAUACAACACCAGAUAAGUACCUUCUGGAUCAAUCCAAAGAAUGUUUUUAAUUAAAUUGCUAAAAGGAUCUCUUUAUAAUGGAAUUUCAUCUAUAAGAUGACUUUCCAGCAUACAGGACCAUUUGAGUAGUAGUAUAAGUAUGAGCAGAGCCUUAUGGUCUGCUGGGGAAAGGCUCUUUUGGAGAGAACCCUGGUCCUGGAAUGAGAAAACAUGGUACCGAGCACUAACAAUUGGUACUUGAACCUGAAAAAGAUAC